AAGAAACUAACUCUUUGGAGUCUGAACUAUUUCUCAUAGUAUCUAUAUGGUGUUAGAAUCAGAUAGCACUAGAAUCGGAUUUAGUAAUUGAAUACAUUUGAGCUCUUAUAUAUUGAUACAACAAUUGCAAUUGCAGAAUUGAAUCAAUUGAUCACACAAACUUGCUGUGAUGAUCGAUACAGUUCUUUCGGAAAAUAUUAGCAGGUGUUUCUUGCACAAGCACCACG
Molecule: long non-coding RNA, 227 nt
Filed under: Trifolium pratense (red clover)
Lineage: Eukaryota; Viridiplantae; Streptophyta; Magnoliopsida; Fabales; Fabaceae
Description: long non-coding RNA (TPRA_LNC013251)
Source: RNAcentral